Molecule: non-coding RNA, 46 nt
Organism: Callithrix jacchus (white-tufted-ear marmoset)
Lineage: Eukaryota; Metazoa; Chordata; Mammalia; Primates; Cebidae
Source: Rfam
CCAAAGGCUCUUUUCAGAGCCACCUAGAGAUCGCCAAAAAAUUGCU